ACCUUGGUGGUGUAGUGGUAGAGCGCUCCGCCGGGUAUGGAUGGAACGCGGGUUCAAUUCCCGUCUGUGGUC
This is a non-coding RNA of Parelaphostrongylus tenuis, 72 nucleotides long. The record is from the annotation of a GenBank genome assembly. NCBI's taxonomy places the organism in Eukaryota, Metazoa, Nematoda, Chromadorea, Rhabditida, Metastrongylidae.